UACGUAGGGUGCGAGCGUUAAUCGGAUUUACUGGGCGUAAAGCGUGCGCAGGCGGCCCGUUAAGACAGAUGUGAAAUCCCUGGGCUCAACCUAGGAAUUGCGCUUCUGACUGGCGGGCUCGAGUACGGUAGAGGGGGGUGGAAUUCCUGGUGUAGCAGUGAAAUGCGUAGAGAUCAGGAGGAACGCCGAUGGCGAAGGCAGCCCCCUGGGCCUAUACUGACGCUCAUGCACGAAAGCGUGGGGAGCAAACAGG
Molecule: ribosomal RNA, 253 nt
Filed under: uncultured microorganism
Description: partial 16S ribosomal RNA
Rfam family: Bacterial small subunit ribosomal RNA
Source: RNAcentral